Molecule: long non-coding RNA, 2463 nt
Organism: Sebastes umbrosus (honeycomb rockfish)
Lineage: Eukaryota; Metazoa; Chordata; Actinopteri; Perciformes; Sebastidae
Exons: 2
Source: RefSeq, a predicted model, not a curated record
AUAACUUAAUGUGUGGGAGGUUCCAAAUGACAGCAGUGACAGCAGAAGUGACACUCACUGUUACAGUCUGAAAAACUUUCUGCGCUCAUGAAGUCUCUUAGGAUUAUACGCAGAGCACUUUCAAGACAGGCAGACAGCAGCAAACCACCUGGGAGCAGCCUCUCUCUCCUGCAGACUGAGUGGAUCCCAGUCAAACUCUGACAGCCUCACGUGGAAGCGAGGAGACAGACCCUGAAAUGUUCUGCCACCUGUCACUCAAACUGACAACGUGAUGUGAAAAGAAUUAAAAGCAAAUAAUAAAAAAAAAAAAAAAUGAUAUCCAGCGUUAUACGUGCACAGUUUUCCUGAGUGUGAUAUGAGACUUUGUGCAAAUGUAUGUGUGCACCGUCUCAUUUCAGCUUUCACAGGCCUUUAAACGCCAUCGGGUUGACCUCAGUCUAACAGUUAAACACGGCGUGGAAGCUGUUUGUGCCAAAUAUUAGAAAGCAGUGACGCGUUCUCACAACUGACGCAACGGGGAUAAAUUCAACCCCGAUAUAAAACACAAUACGCUCAUAAAAAUGCAUCAGUGUGACAGAAGCUGCUCCGUGCAUAAAAACAGAUAACCAUAAGCUGCGAUCAGUGACAUCAUUAUUCUUUUGUUCCCACUCAUUUAUGGUCCUCUGGUGCAUUGAUGUGGUGUCUCCGCACUGCAUUUCUCACAGAUCAGCUGUCUAUCAAACAGUGUGGCCAGGACAUCUUCUCUGUUUGAGUUUCUGUGGGUGGCAAUCCUUUGUCUGCUUAGCCCCGGUGGCUAUCAUUGCUCAUGCUAACCAUCCAGUGAUUUGUCUUUUCCAUCACAUUAUGUGUCAAAGGAUGUUCUCUAGGAAAGAUGUACCAGCAAGUGCAAAAGCUUUCAGCAACUAAAUGUACAAUAAUAGUUUAACUGCAAUUGUGCUACAUAGAGGAACACAUACUAGCAACGCAAACGGUUAUUAUUAUAAAAUGUUCUUUAAUCUUAAAUGUAAUAUUAAAAUUAAGAGAAAACAUGUUGAAUAACUGAUGUUGAAAUCUCACUGUGGCAAUCCACAACAUCUGCCACCAGUGGACCUUGAGCAUUGAUCAUGUUGCUGUAGAACAGGUUCUGUAUCACACUGAGGUGCAAACUGACGAUGAUUAAAUCUGACAGAAACACACUAAAUUAGCCAAGAAUUCUCUGUGCCCUCUAUUAUAUAUUGUCAAAUACGGCAGCUUGGACAGUGGCGUUAUACGUCAAUCUAUGACGCUCUACAUGGACGUAUUUAUGUCGGGAGUAGUCAACGUAGACUUAUUUUAAGAAACGUAAUGUUACGUAACAGUUGCUUAAGUAACAUAGCAUGCUAAACUACGUUACGUAGGAUAUGUUAAGUUACAACAUUACUACAAAGUGUACGCAACAUAAGUACAUGUACAUGAUGUUUCCUAAACCUAACCAAGUUGUUUCCUCUGAAAUUUGGUAAAAAUUGGAAAUAAACAAGCAUGCAAAUCUGACGCUAGAUAGUUUGAACCAUAGGGCCGCUGACCAAGCUGCCGUAUUGAAAGAGAUGGGAGUGAGAAUGUGUUCAUGUCAAUAAGAGACAUUUAGGUUUCUUAUGUCCUGAAAAUAGGCACAAAUGCAAUUACAAGUGCAUUUAGCAUCAAACUGAACCGUACUGUUUGUGAGGGAAAUAAAUGUAAGAACCAGAUUAAAGGGGCACUCUACAGAUUUUACACACAAAGUUCAGUUUAUUACUCAUUAGGAGUAUUACUCAGCUUGUGAAAACAGAUGUAUAAUGUCCUCUGUGGCUCUGGAGGGAGCCCCCUCAAGUGUGAGAAAAUAAACCUCAUGACAUCAUUAGGGUUAUUGGGUCUAAUGAAAAAAUGCUAUCAAGUUGCAUUUUGGGAAUUGUAGGAUCCAGCAUUUUUGACAAAUCUUGACCAUACUAGGGAUUAAAAGUCAAGUAUAAUUUUGUAUUUUCUUUUCAUGUACCUCUUGUGAGCUCCCAAACUUUAUGAAAGUGCAUGAAAGUACUAAAUCUCUGGAGUAGCAAUUUCUAACUAAAAUUUAAAGUAAUAUUAGCCAUCAAAAGCUAAUGGUCAUACCAGACCAAGCAAGGCUGUAUUAGCAAAACUCCUGAGUGUAAUAAUGUGUUUUAUCACUUGUGGAUUCAAAAUUGUAUUAGUACGAGGAUGAAUGUAUUUUUUCUUCUUUGUAAAGUUUACACUUUUCUUUUUUUUUUACCAUUGGCCAUUCAAAUAUAUUGGUCAGGCUCAAGUUAGCACUUCUAACAAUAUAUUAUCAUCACUAAAUUAGAGGCCUAAAGGUUAAACAGCCAACGAAAGGUUCCUGCGUUAGUGUGUGUCUGUGCUUUUUCACACCUAUGCAUGUGUGCACAGUAGGUGCGGGGUUUUAUCUCCGAUACGGUGUGAAUGUGUGUGAGUGACUGAGCGCCUGUACAACCUGGA